CCCUUAGAUGUUCUGGGCCGCACGCGCGCUACACUGAUUCAUGCAACAAGUUUUGUCCUUGGCUGAUAGGCCUGGGUAAUCUUUGAACGUGAAUCGUGAUGGGGAUAGAUGAUUGCAAUUAUUCAUCUUCAACGAGGAAUUCCUAGUAAACGCAAGUCAUCAGCUUGCAUUGAUUACGUCCCUGCCCUUUGUACACACCGCCCGUCGCACCUACCGAUUGAAUGGCCCGGUGAAAUCUUCGGAUCUGAGAGAUGUCUGAUUAAUUUCGGACGCCUUUUGGAAAAGUUGCUUAAACCUUACCAUUUAGAGGAAGGUGAAGUCGUAACA
This 327-nucleotide ribosomal RNA is filed under the name uncultured eukaryote. Its description in RNAcentral is "partial 18S ribosomal RNA". It matches the Rfam family "Eukaryotic small subunit ribosomal RNA", at positions 1470 to 1796 of the family's 1831-position model. The record is from RNAcentral.